RNAcentral lists this ribosomal RNA (335 nucleotides) under uncultured Planctomycetales bacterium. RNAcentral describes it as "bacterial SSU rRNA". It matches the Rfam family "Bacterial small subunit ribosomal RNA", at positions 473 to 806 of the family's 1533-position model. Lineage: Bacteria; Pseudomonadati; Planctomycetota; Planctomycetia; Planctomycetales. The record is from RNAcentral.
CUAAGGCUCCAGAGGAAGCCACGGCUAACUCUGUGCCAGCAGCCGCGGUAAUACAGAGGCGGCAAGCGUUGUUCGGAAUUAUUGGGCGUAAAGAGCACGUAGGCGGCCUUGCAAGUCAGUUGUGAAAGCCUUCCGCUUAACGGAAGAAUGCCAGCUGAUACUACAGGGCUUGAGUACGGGAGGGGAGAGUGGAACUUCUGGUGGAGCGGUGAAGUGCGUAGAUAUCAGAAGGAACGCCGGCGGCGAAAGCGACUCUCUGGCCCGAAACUGACGCUGAGUGUGCGAAAGCUAGGGGAGCAAACGGGAUUAGAUACCCCGGUAGUCCUAGCCGUAAA